UCUUCCAUGUAGGUUGCUAUCUGAAUUUUCCUUCUUCCUUUUUUCACUUUCUUUAUUUUUGGUUAAUCUCGUGACCUGAUUUUAGCACCUAGCACUUUGCCAGAAAAUACCUUCUGCAAUAUUUGCUUCUUCUUCACUAAACACAACAGACCAGAUCCACAAAAUUUUUAGGGUGUUUAUCUGAAAUUUUCAGAUUAUAAAUUUAAAAUGUAGACUCCUGAUACAAAGCCUUUUCUCCUUAUCUUGUAUUCUUUAACUUACACUGCCAUUUCCACUGCAUCUACUUCUGGGUGCCUACUGGCAGAGCUUUGCUUGCAGGGCUGCCAGAGAACAUUUUUAUUUGCAGAGGUCCAUCAAGUCCCACCUGAAACAGAGCCCAAAGCAGUGUACAGGCUUUGUUUUCCACAGGAGAACCAGCUCCACAGCACUGCCUGCUCCUCAAGGUUUUGAAAUAAAUAAGAAGAAACACUGGGCAGCAACUGAAAUGUCAGCUCACGGUACCUUGGGACAUCUGUUUAAAAGAAAGAUGAAAAAAAAAAAAAAAGAAGCAAAAAGCAAACAACAAUAACAGAAAUUCCCAUGGCUGCCAACAAGCUGAGAAGUUUUACAAUAGUUCAACAUGCCAGAAAAAAGGUCAAAGGUCUGGCUGGAUCCAGAUGGCCUACUGGGCUAGUAUGGUGAAAGCAUGCCAGUUUCUGUAGCCAACAGCACAGAAGGGAGUGAUUUGGCUAGCAUUAUGGCCAUCUGCCUCUAACUCCUCGGCACAAAUGACCGGAUACCCACUGCAGCUGAAUCAACAGUGCAAGUGCACAGCAAAGCUCAAAUUUACACUGCUGGAUCUGUAUCAAGAUGCUUCAAAAUGGUGAGCAGGGCUGGGAAGUAGGAGAUAGCCGGGACAGAUGCUGGGGAGAUCCCUGAAAAGCUACACAGAUCGCUGUCUUCCUUAUGUGUCUCUCUACCCACCGACUGGGAUUAUUUUUCAGUGUUGUUUACAAUAAUUCUGUCAAUACUUGCAUUCACACUGAAAACAAACAAAUAAAUAUAGAGACACCAACCCCCAA
Long non-coding RNA from Cygnus olor (mute swan), 1061 nucleotides. RefSeq lists it as uncharacterized. The record is from RefSeq and is a predicted model, not a curated record. Lineage: Eukaryota; Metazoa; Chordata; Aves; Anseriformes; Anatidae. The transcript has 2 exons.